Molecule: ribosomal RNA, 253 nt
Filed under: uncultured bacterium
Lineage: Bacteria
Description: partial 16S ribosomal RNA
Rfam family: Bacterial small subunit ribosomal RNA
Source: RNAcentral
GACAGAGGGUGCAAACGUUGCUCGGAAUCACUGGGCGUAAAGGGCGCGUAGGCGGGGAUGUAAGUCGGGCGUGAAAUCCCCAGGCUCAACCUGGGAACUGCACUCGAAACUGCGUUUCUUGAGUAUCGGAGAGGAAAGCGGAAUUCCUGGUGUAGAGGUGAAAUUCGUAGAUAUCAGGAGGAACACCAGUGGCGAAGGCGGCUUCCUGGACCAAUACUGACGAUCAGGUGCGAAAGCGUGGGGAGCAAACAGG